Molecule: small nucleolar RNA, 129 nt
Organism: Ailuropoda melanoleuca (giant panda)
Lineage: Eukaryota; Metazoa; Chordata; Mammalia; Carnivora; Ursidae
Source: Ensembl
GUGCACAUUUCAUUGGCCUGCUUCUCUUGUAUAUGUGAGCAGUGUUAUUUCUUAUGUGCUAUACAAAUAGUUGAAGGUUAAUUAGCAGUAUAACUAAAUAGUAAUGCUGCCAGUCUCCUUCAGACAAAU